GAAGUUGGCGAGACAAUGGUAUAACUUCAAAUUUCAUCUUUGUGUUUAAUUUGCAGUGCAUCAGGGGUAUUUUGUCAUUUUGUUCAAUGUACUAAAUAGCUAGAGUUUGCACUACUACUUAUGCUAGAUAUUUGGUUAAUUUCAGAAAAAAAUUCAGAAAAUCAACGAUAAGUCAGUUGAAGAUUCCUCACUGUCUCUUAAAGAUGAUGCAUUGUCACAAGUUUUUGGACCCGAACCUUCUGGUCAUGUUAGAGCACUUGGAUUUGGUGUUACUCCUUCGAAAGUUGGUAUAAUUACACAACACAAAGAAAAAGUUGUCCAGCUAGAACAAGAGGUUGAAGAACUUUCAAAGAAGGUUGCUAGCAUGGAGUCGACAAGGAGAGACUUGGAAGAAAAAAUAAGGCAAGAGAUGCAAGAAUCAUUAAGAGAAGAAAUGAGAGGAGCAAUAAGGGAGGAGUGUCAAGAACAAAUCAAUACUAUGCAGAGUUUGGUGAAUCAGCUUUUGAUAUCUCAGGUAAGUGGUUAAAUGGUUUAGUUUGUUAAUUUCUUUUGUGAUGGAAUAUGGUUAUUGGUAUUUGUUGUCUUUCUUGUUUGUUUAUCUCUGGGAAUAUGGAUUGUUCAAUGUGCUAGACCAAAACUUCUUAGCUUUUCAAUAUUAAAAGGUCUGCAGUCCAUUUUGGACUGCUGGCAACUGGCCCAAAGAGAUCUGGCUGAAUAUGAGUGCUAGCAAUUGCCUAGUACCAUUAAUUCAUUAUAGGGUAAUCUCAAACUAUGAGUAGUUGAAUAUAUUAAUCUACAGAUUUCUAAAACCUUUUAAAAGUUAAAAGUCACAAAGUUAGCAUUUUUUAGCAUGAGAAAAAGAUCAACUUAUGAUUUCUUUUUAUAUUUUAUGGUUGAACAGGGUUAUGAACCAAUGUUUGGAACAUCUUCAAGUGCACAUCAGCUUAAGUAUCAAUAUAACAUGAUUGUUGUAAUCGAGUGUUAUCUGAUUUUUAAAUAAUUUGAGUAAUUGUUAUUUUGUUUUCAAUUAGGUGCAUUCCACAAAUAAAAAUCCCUUAGUUGUGAAGUGCAAACUGUUUCGAAUGGACGAAGAAGACAUUGUAGCUGAAGGUGUUUGGCUGUCAAAUAAUCCAGAUAUGGAAGCGCAGGGGAUUAAACUUGGGUCAGGUGCAUCUAAGGUUGUGGUGGAACAUGUUAUCGAAUCUACAGCAAGAUUAUGGAAACCUUGCAAUGGUAUGAAAAUAUUGGAAGAUGCUAUAGGUUGCUCCAUUGCAUGGCCCACUGACCAUAUCAUAAGAGAG
This 1301-nucleotide long non-coding RNA is filed under the name Aquilegia coerulea. RNAcentral's name for it is "long non-coding RNA (ACOE_LNC001883)". The record is from RNAcentral. Lineage: Eukaryota; Viridiplantae; Streptophyta; Magnoliopsida; Ranunculales; Ranunculaceae.